Molecule: ribosomal RNA, 253 nt
Filed under: uncultured bacterium
Lineage: Bacteria
Description: partial 16S ribosomal RNA
Rfam family: Bacterial small subunit ribosomal RNA
Source: RNAcentral
UACGUAGGUGGCAAGCGUUGUCCGGAAUCAUUGGGCGUAAAGAGCGCGUAGGCGGCCCUGUAAGUCCGCUGUGAAAGUCAAGGGCUCAACCCUUGAAUGCCGGUGGAUACUGCAGGGCUAGAGUCCGGAAGAGGCGAGUGGAAUUCCUGGUGUAGCGGUGAAAUGCGCAGAUAUCAGGAGGAACACCGAUGGCGAAGGCAGCUCGCUGGGACGGUACUGACGCUGAGGCGCGAAAGCGUGGGGAGCGAACAGG